CUAGAUGUGGGGGUUGGGGCUGGCGUAAGCCAGUCACUCGAGGCCGUUUUGUUGUCGAAGUUCAUAGCGCGAGGGACCGAGAAGAGCACACAGGGGACGAUGAAGUCGCCCGUACUAAAACUGACACAGGUAGGCGAGGAGAGUAUCCUCAGGCGCUCGAGAGAACUGCGGUUAAGGAACUAGGCAAUCUGACCCCGUAACUUCGGGAGAAGGGGUCCCUCCCUCACGCGAGUGAGAAGGGCGCAGGAAUCAGCCUGGGCGACUGUUUAUCAAAAACACAGCUCUGUGCAAAGACGCAAGUCGACGUAUACAGAGUGACGCCUGCUCGGUGCCGGAAUGUUAAGGAAGGCGGUCAGGGGUUCGCCCCGAAGCUGGCGACCGAAGCACCGGUAAACGGCGGCCGUAACUAUGACGGUCCUAAGGUAGCGAAGUUCCUUGUCGGGUAAGUACCGACGUGCAUGAACGGCGUAACGACUUGGGCGCUGUCUCGACCGCAGACUCGGUGAAAUUGAAGUGGCGGUGUAGAUACCGCCUUCCCGCAGCAAGACGGAAAGACCCCAUGCACCUUUACUAUAACCCGGUAGUGAUGCCGGGUGAGGACUGCGUAGGAUAGGUGGGAGCCUGUGACGCGCCGGUUCCGGCCGGCGAAGAGGCAACGGUGAAAUACCACCCUGUUCGCAUUCGUCAUCUCACCGCGGCCCCUGAAUCGGGGCGCGGGACACUGCUAGGCGGUUAGUUUGACUGGGGCGGUCACCUCCGAAAGAGUAACGGAGGAGUACAAAGGCGGGCUCAGGCCGGUUGGCAAUCGGUCGUCGAGCGCAAGGGUAGAAGCCCGCUUGACCGCGAGUGCUACAGCACGAGCGGAUGUGAAAGCAGGUCCUAGUGAUCCUGUGGUACCGUGUGGAAGGGCCAUAGCUCAACGGAUAAAAGGUACGCUGGGGAUAACAGGCUGAUCGCACCCGAGCGUCCAUAGCGGCGGUGCGGUUUGGCACCUCGAUGUCGGCCCAUCACAUCCUGGGGCUGAAGGCGGUCCCAAGGGUUUGGCUGUUCGCCAAUUAAAGUGGUACGCGAGCUGGGUUCAGACCGGCGUGAGCCAGGUCGGUCCCUAUCUGCUGUGGGCGUGGGAACCUUGACGGAGAUUCUUCCAUAGUACGAGAGGAUUUGGAAGGACGGACCCCUGGUGUACCAGUUGUCGCGCUAGCGGCACGGCUGGGUAGCUAUGUCCGGAACGGAUAAACGCUGAAAGCAUCUAAGCGUGAAGCCAACUCCAAGACGAGGGUUCCGUGCUAUUUAUAGCGAGAGACCCCGGGUAGACCACCCGGUUGAUAGGCCGGAGCUGUACGGAUGGAAACAUCUUCAGGUUACCGGUACUAACGGUCGACAGCUUGGCCAC
RNAcentral lists this ribosomal RNA (1393 nucleotides) under metagenome. RNAcentral describes it as "bacterial LSU rRNA". It matches the Rfam family "Bacterial large subunit ribosomal RNA", at positions 1536 to 2925 of the family's 2925-position model. The record is from RNAcentral.